UUAAAACUACGAAAGGAAGUUCGACGGGGCCCGCACAAGCGGUGGAUUAUGUGGAUUAAUUCGAUGCAACGCGAAAACCUUACCUGGCCUUGACAUGCCACUAACGAAGCAGAGAUGCAUUAGGUGCCCGAAAGGGAAAGUGGACACAGGUGCUGCAUGGCUGUCGUCAGCUCGUGUCGUGAGAUGUUGGGUUAAGUCCCGCAACGAGCGCAACCCUUGCCGAUAGUUGCUACAUUCAGUUGAGCACUCUAUUGGGACUGCCGGUGACAAACCGGAGGAAGGUGGGGAUGACGUCAAGUCCUCAUGGCCCUUAUGGCCAGGGCUUCACACGUAAUACAAUGGUCGGUACAGAGGGUUGCCAACCCGCGAGGGGGAGCUAAUCUCAGAAAGCCGAUCGUAGUCCGGAUUGCACUCUGCAACUCGAGUGCAUGAAGUCGGAAUCGCUAGUAAUCGCGGAUCAGCAUGUCGCGGU
This 472-nucleotide ribosomal RNA is filed under the name uncultured bacterium. Its description in RNAcentral is "bacterial SSU rRNA". It matches the Rfam family "Bacterial small subunit ribosomal RNA", at positions 903 to 1363 of the family's 1533-position model. The record is from RNAcentral.